AUGCAUGACCAUCGGGUCUGGCACGUCGAGCACAGGACUGCCCUGAACCCACACGGCAAAGCAAGGUCUGCCCCAGAGCGCAGGCACCAAAGCCGCACGGAGCAGCAGCGACUUCCCCAGAGCAGCGCCGGGGAGCAUCCGGCACCAGCCCAGGCAGGUGGGGAGCAAUGUGAGCGCUGGAUAAGAAAUCGCACCGUCUCCUUGCUUGCACAGGGUGCGAGGGACGGAGACGGGCGCCGGGGAAGCACCGGGCGCCUCGCUGGGCCGGCAGCGUCCCGCCGCAGCUUCUCCCCGGGGCCGGACCCCCGUCUGCCGGGGCGAGCGCCAAGGACGAGACCGCACGCGCCCGGGGGGCUCCGCAGCCGCGUUUCGGGCCAGGAUGAAAUGCGACAGGCUGUCUUUAAAAAGCCACCGGGGGAGGUGGAUCGACGUGGCUCCGCGCUGCCCUCCGGAUGGUGCCCGGGCCUGCGCCUGCCUGAAACCUCACUGGGGAAACCCGGGCGGCCGCCGAAGCGCGGCUGGAGGGCGAGGGCACGAAAGGAAACUGAGGGGAAGCGAAGGGAAGGAGCAGGGCGGGCUGGGGCCCUCGACGGCCUCUUGCAAAAGCUGCUGCCCAACACUGCAGGCAGCAAGGGAGGCGCCACAGCCCUGCCUGCAGUGCGGGCGCCUGCCAACAGCUCCCGGCGUCUCCCGGCUGCAAAACACAGUGAAGCAGGAUCCUUCCCCGGCACGGCGGGCUGCCCGCGCCCGGCGCCCCCCUGCCCACAUGGUACAUCCCGCCGCCCCGCUGGGCCCGGACGCGCCCACCUCGCGCGCCGGGAGCGGGGUGCGCACCUCCGUGUGGCUCCGCGGGGCCCGCUCCGCUCCGCUCCGCUCUCCCCCGGCGCUCAGACACUGGUCGCAGCGCAACUUCCGGCAGCCUCGCGGAGGGGUCGCGCGGGGUUCAGCCCAGCGGAAGUGACGACACGCGCCCCUGCGCCGCGACCCGGAAGCCGGGGGGUGGGGCCGCCGUUGUGGUCCCCGGGGGUUGGGGGAAGAACUUCUCUGGUCUCCCCCCACUCCCGCCGGGGCGGGACCCGCACUGGAUCCCGGGGGGGGGGAUCCAGGGCUCACACUGGAUCCCUGGGGGAGGGGGCCGCUACUGGAUCGCUGAGGGGAUCCCUGGCGUUUUCCUGUGAGUGCUGUUCGUACAGGGGCAAGGCUGACCGGCCCCCCACCCCCAUCUGGGUGCAGCGGGGACACCUGCUCGAGGAUCACGGCUGA
RNAcentral lists this long non-coding RNA (1263 nucleotides) under Crocodylus porosus (Australian saltwater crocodile). Its description in RNAcentral is "lncRNA (ENSCPRG00005016485.1)". The record is from RNAcentral. Lineage: Eukaryota; Metazoa; Chordata; Crocodylia; Crocodylidae.